AGAGUUUGAUCCUGGCUCAGAUUGAACGCUAGCGGGAUGCCUUACACAUGCAAGUCGAACGGCAGCACGGACUUCGGUCUGGUGGCGAGUGGCGAACGGGUGAGUAAUGUAUCGGAACGUGCCUAGUAGCGGGGGAUAACUACGCGAAAGCGUGGCUAAUACCGCAUACGCCCUACGGGGGAAAGCAGGGGAUCGCAAGACCUUGCACUGUUAGAGCGGCCGAUAUCGGAUUAGCUAGUUGGUGGGGUAACGGCUCACCAAGGCGACGAUCCGUAGCUGGUUUGAGAGGACGACCAGCCACACUGGGACUGAGACACGGCCCAGACUCCUACGGGAGGCAGCAGUGGGGAAUUUUGGACAAUGGGGGAAACCCUGAUCCAGCCAUCCCGCGUGUGCGAUGAAGGCCUUCGGGUUGUAAAGCACUUUUGGCAGGAAAGAAACGUCAUGGGCUAAUACCCCGUGAAACUGACGGUACCUGCAGAAUAAGCACCGGCUAACUACGUGCCAGCAGCCGCGGUAAUACGUAGGGUGCAAGCGUUAAUCGGAAUUACUGGGCGUAAAGCG
This 564-nucleotide ribosomal RNA is filed under the name uncultured Alcaligenes sp. RNAcentral's name for it is "bacterial SSU rRNA". It matches the Rfam family "Bacterial small subunit ribosomal RNA", at positions 8 to 567 of the family's 1533-position model. The record is from RNAcentral. Lineage: Bacteria; Pseudomonadati; Pseudomonadota; Betaproteobacteria; Burkholderiales; Alcaligenaceae.